ACUCGAGUGGCGAACGGGUGAGUAACACGUGGGUGAUCUGCCCUGCACUUCGGGAUAAGCCUGGGAAACUGGGUCUAAUACCGGAUAGGAGCCAUUUUUAGUGUGAUGGUUGGAAAGUUUUCGGUGUAGGAUGAGCUCGCGGCCUAUCAGCUUGUUGGUGGGGUAAUGGCCUACCAAGGCGGCGACGGGUAGCCGGCCUGAGAGGGUGGACGGCCACAUUGGGACUGAGAUACGGCCCAG
Molecule: ribosomal RNA, 240 nt
Filed under: uncultured Actinomycetales bacterium
Lineage: Bacteria; Bacillati; Actinomycetota; Actinomycetes; Actinomycetales
Description: partial 16S ribosomal RNA
Rfam family: Bacterial small subunit ribosomal RNA
Source: RNAcentral